This 349-nucleotide long non-coding RNA is filed under the name Ananas comosus (pineapple). Its description in RNAcentral is "long non-coding RNA (ACOM_LNC041775)". Lineage: Eukaryota; Viridiplantae; Streptophyta; Magnoliopsida; Poales; Bromeliaceae. The record is from RNAcentral.
CAACUUGGUAGAAUUCAUCUACAGAGGACCAAAACGAGAGUUUGUUGCUAGUAAGCCCCCAGUUGGCCAAACGAUCUGCAACUACAGCAUUUUUAGAAUAUCUUGACGACCAUCCAUAACUAAAUUGCUUGGAACUUUCAAGAAAAGUUCGGAGAUCCGUGAUUCUUGUUCGAGCUUCAUCUGUUAACGAAACUGAAUGAUAGCUCCUAAGAUGCAAGGCUUUGAUGAUGGGUGCUGAAUCUGAGUAGAUAUGAAAAGUUUCUCCCGGAUACCUUUGCAACAAAAGAUUUGUCGCUCGGGAAAGUGCUCCAAUUUCCGCGGAGCCAGCGUCAUGGACAUCCUUCAGUAC